Molecule: non-coding RNA, 111 nt
Organism: Xylaria sp. CBS 124048
Lineage: Eukaryota; Fungi; Ascomycota; Sordariomycetes; Xylariales; Xylariaceae
Source: the annotation of a GenBank genome assembly
GGCCAGGUGGCGGAGUGGUUAACGCGGUAGACUCGAAUCCAUUGGAGGAUUAAUAAGCUUCAAAGCGAUCUACUUCCUUCGGGAGCGUCUGUUCGAAUCAGGCCCUGGUCG